AUGCUGAAUAAAGAAGCUCCGGAUUCUUUUCCGGCAAGGCGAUUUGUCUCUAUGGUCGGUGAUGGAUUUAGGAACCAGUCCGUUCAACCGGGGAUGUCGUGGCGGUGGCGGCAUCUUGUGAUGGACUUGUGUCCUCGGGCAUCGCCGUUGCGACGGCGUCUGCUGCAGCGUCGACGCGGAGCGUGUGAGGUAGUUUUGGAGCGGAUGCAUAUUGUGGUCUACAUUGUUAACAGCUGUAAGAAAAAACGUGUGCGGAGUUCGUUGUUGAUGGAUGGCAGGUAUGGUUUCCUUCUUCGACGUCUUAGUCGUGAUGGGAUGCCAGAUCUGGAGUUCGCUGGUGUGUCCGGGGUGUGGCCUCGGUUGAUUCUUUAA
RNAcentral lists this ribosomal RNA (372 nucleotides) under Triticum aestivum (bread wheat). Its description in RNAcentral is "partial small subunit ribosomal RNA". The record is from RNAcentral. Lineage: Eukaryota; Viridiplantae; Streptophyta; Magnoliopsida; Poales; Poaceae.